UCCGAGCUUUCUGGAGUUCUCUGAGUGGGUCCGCAAGCUCAUUCCAAUCUGCGUCUAUAUCAAAAUGACUGGGCCAAGCACGAUAGCAAGUCCAUGGCUCUCGGAGGGAGAUUCCAGAGGGGUUUGUCCAGCUGUGCACAUGGGUGGUGGAGUCUCUGCACAGUCCCAGAACUGCCCUGUGACCUGCUAACACCUGAACCUGCUCACACUUCUGCCCAGCAGCUGAUCUAGAAACAGGA
Molecule: long non-coding RNA, 239 nt
Filed under: Varanus komodoensis (Komodo dragon)
Lineage: Eukaryota; Metazoa; Chordata; Lepidosauria; Squamata; Varanidae
Description: lncRNA (ENSVKKG00000014205.1)
Source: RNAcentral